Molecule: ribosomal RNA, 512 nt
Filed under: uncultured bacterium
Lineage: Bacteria
Description: bacterial SSU rRNA
Rfam family: Bacterial small subunit ribosomal RNA
Source: RNAcentral
CGCCGGCGGCGUGCCUAAUACAUGCAAGUCGAACGCACUCUCGUUUAGAUUGAAGGAGCUUGCUCCUGAUUGAUAACAUUUGAGUGAGUGGCGACGGGUGAGUAACACGUGGGUAACCUGCCCUAAAGUGGGGGAUAACAUUUGGAAACAGAUGCUAAUACCGCAUAAAACCUAACACCGCAUGGUGUAGGGUUGAAAGAUGGUUUCGGCUAUCACUUUAGGAUGGACCCGCGGUGCAUUAGUUAGUUGGUGAGGUAAAGGCUCACCAAGACCGUGAUGCAUAGCCGACCUGAGAGGGUAAUCGGCCACACUGGGACUGAGACACGGCCCAGACUCCCACGGGAGGCAGCAGUAGGGAAUCUUCCACAAUGGACGAGAGUCUGAUGGAGCAACGCCGCGUGAGUGAAGAAGGUUUUCGGAUCGUAAAACUCUGUUGUUGGAGAAGAAUGUAUCUGAUAGUAACUGAUCAGGUAGUGACGGUAUCCAACCAGAAAGCCACGGCUAACUACGUG